Leptinotarsa decemlineata (Colorado potato beetle) is the source of this 525-nucleotide long non-coding RNA. Lineage: Eukaryota; Metazoa; Arthropoda; Insecta; Coleoptera; Chrysomelidae. The record is from RefSeq and is a predicted model, not a curated record.
CUUUGCAUAUCAUUAUUAUUUUCGCAGGUAAGAAUUGAAGGUACCGUAGAAAGAGUUUCCUGCUGCAAGUCAGACGAACUCUUCCGAGAAAGUUCGUAUGAUACUCAGAUUGGAACCCUCCUCUGUGAACAGAGUACUCCCAUCGAAAGCCGAUCUGCAUUAUUAUGUAAAACUAAUAAGAUGAAGAAGCACUAUCCUGAAGGAAAAGUUCCACGUUCUCCCCUUUGGGGUGGUUAUAUAAUCAGACCACACACCAUCGAGUUUUGGCAAGGUCAAAAUGAUAGCCUUCACGACAGGAUCAGAUUUAGACGACCCAAAGAAAAGGAACCAGAUGGAGUUUUGACACAUGAAGGAGAAAAUGGAUGGGUGUAUGAGAGACUAUGUCCACCCUGAAAAUAAUUUAAUAAUGGCAUUCUACCUAGUCGGAAGUCAACCCAAUUCAUUCUGUGAAUUUUGUAUCCUAUUUUGGUGAUCUAGUGAAUCAUGUAACCCUUUAUAAAUUUAUUACAGUAGUAAUAUUGACGA